Molecule: ribosomal RNA, 252 nt
Filed under: uncultured bacterium
Lineage: Bacteria
Description: partial 16S ribosomal RNA
Rfam family: Bacterial small subunit ribosomal RNA
Source: RNAcentral
UACGGAGGAUGCGAGCGUUAUCCGGAUUUAUUGGGUUUAAAGGGUGCGUAGGCGGGCUUUUAAGUCAGCGGUAAAAAUUCGGGGCUCAACCCCGUCCGGCCGUUGAAACUGGGGGUCUUGAGUGGGCGAGAAGAAGGCGGAAUGCGUGGUGUAGCGGUGAAAUGCAUAGAUAUCACGCAGAACCCCGAUUGCGAAGGCAGACUUCCGGCGCCCUACUGACGCUGAGGCACGAAAGUGCGGGGAUCGAACAGG